ACACCCUGACCCGCAUCGCCCUGGGUCUCUCGAGCCUGCUGCCUGCUCCCCCGCCCCACCAGCCAUGGUGGUUUCUGGAGCGCCCCCAGCCCCGGGUGGGGGCUGUCUCGGCACCUUCACCUCCCUGCUGCUGCUGGCGUCGACAGCCAUCCUCAAUGCGGCCAGGAUACCUGUUCCCCCAGCCUGUGGGAAGCCCCAGCAGCUGAACCGGGUUGUGGGCGGCGAGGACAGCACUGACAGCGAGUGGCCCUGGAUCGUGAGCAUCCAGAAGAAUGGGACCCACCACUGCGCAGCAACCUGAACAAACCAUCCCUGUUCUCUGUGCUGCUGGGGGCCUGGCAGCUGGGGAACCCUGGCUCUCGGUCCCAGAAGGUGGGUGUUGCCUGGGUGCAGCCCCACCCUGUGUAUUCCUGGAAGGAGGGUGCCCGUGCGGACAUUGCCCUGGUGCGUCUCGAGCGCUCCAUACAGUUCUCAGAGCGGGUCCUGCCCAUCUGCCUACCUGAUGCCUC
Molecule: small RNA, 509 nt
Filed under: Pan troglodytes (chimpanzee)
Lineage: Eukaryota; Metazoa; Chordata; Mammalia; Primates; Hominidae
Description: processed transcript
Source: RNAcentral